Molecule: ribosomal RNA, 253 nt
Filed under: uncultured bacterium
Lineage: Bacteria
Description: partial 16S ribosomal RNA
Rfam family: Bacterial small subunit ribosomal RNA
Source: RNAcentral
UACGAAGGGGGCUAGCGUUGUUCGGAAUUACUGGGCGUAAAGCGCACGUAGGCGGAUCAGUCAGUUAGGGGUGAAAUCCCGGGGCUCAACCCCGGAACUGCCUUUAAUACUGCUGAUCUAGAGUUCGAGAGAGGUGAGUGGAAUUCCGAGUGUAGAGGUGAAAUUCGUAGAUAUUCGGAGGAACACCAGUGGCGAAGGCGGCUCACUGGCUCGAUACUGACGCUGAGGUGCGAAAGCGUGGGGAGCAAACAGG